GACGAACGCUGGCGGCGUGCCUAAUACAUGCAAGUAGAACGCUGGAGGAGGAGCUUGCUCUUCUGGAUGAGUUGCGAACGGGUGAGUAACGCGUAGGUAACCUGCCUGGUAGCGGGGGAUAACUAUUGGAAACGAUAGCUAAUACCGCAUAAGAGUAGAUGUUGCAUGACAUUUGCUUAAAAGUUGCAAUUGCAUCACUACCAGAUGGACCUGCGUUGUAUUAGCUAGUUGGUGGGGUCACGGAUCACCAAGGCGACGAUACAUAGCCGCCCUGAGAGGGGGGUCAGCCACACUGGGACUGUGACACGGCCCAGACUCCUACGGGAGGCAGCAGGAGGGCAUCGUCGGCAAUGGACGGAAGACUGACCGAGCAACGCCGCGGGAGGGAAGAAGGUUGUCGGAUCGGAAAGCUCGGUUGUAAGAGAAGAACGAGUGUGAGAGUGGAAAGUUCACACUGUGACGGUAUCUGACCAGAAAGGGACGGCUAACUACGUG
RNAcentral lists this ribosomal RNA (495 nucleotides) under uncultured bacterium. RNAcentral describes it as "partial 16S ribosomal RNA". It matches the Rfam family "Bacterial small subunit ribosomal RNA", at positions 28 to 507 of the family's 1533-position model. The record is from RNAcentral.